Molecule: ribosomal RNA, 314 nt
Filed under: uncultured Treponema sp.
Lineage: Bacteria; Pseudomonadati; Spirochaetota; Spirochaetia; Treponematales; Treponemataceae
Description: bacterial SSU rRNA
Rfam family: Bacterial small subunit ribosomal RNA
Source: RNAcentral
CUAAGAAUAUUCCGCAAUGGACGAAAGUCUGACGGAGCGACGCCGCGUGGAUGAUGAAGGCCGGAAGGUUGUAAAAUCCUUUUAUGACUGAGGAAUAAGUGAAGUGAGGGAAACGCUUCAUGGUGACUGUAGGUCAUGAAUAAGCAACGGCUAAUUACGUGCCAGCAGCCGCGGUAACACGUAAGUUGCGAGCGUUGUUCGGAAUUAUUGGGCGUAAAGGGUAUGUAGGCGGUCUGUCAAGCCAGGCGUGAAAGCCAGGGGCUCAACCCCUGAACUGCGCUUGGAACUGGCGGACUGGAGUCGCUGAGGGGGAA